AGGGGUGUAGCUCCAAUUGGCAGAGCGCCGGUCUCCAAAACCGGAUGUUGUGGGUUCGAGUCCCGCCACCCCUG
RNAcentral lists this transfer RNA (74 nucleotides) under Actinomycetes bacterium. RNAcentral's name for it is "tRNA-Trp". It matches the Rfam family "tRNA". Rfam says of the family: Transfer RNA (tRNA) molecules are approximately 80 nucleotides in length. Their secondary structure includes four short double-helical elements and three loops (D, anti-codon, and T loops). Further hydrogen bonds mediate the characteristic L-shaped molecular structure. tRNAs have two regions of fundamental functional importance: the anti-codon, which is responsible for specific mRNA codon recognition, and the 3' end, to which the tRNAs corresponding amino acid is attached (by aminoacyl-tRNA synthetases). tRNAs cope with the degeneracy of the genetic code in two manners: having more than one tRNA (with a specific anti-codon) for a particular amino acid; and 'wobble' base-pairing, i.e. permitting non-standard base-pairing at the 3rd anti-codon position. The record is from RNAcentral. Lineage: Bacteria; Bacillati; Actinomycetota; Actinomycetes. RNAcentral also lists the same sequence under 5 other names.